Molecule: ribosomal RNA, 197 nt
Filed under: Staphylococcus aureus
Lineage: Bacteria; Bacillati; Bacillota; Bacilli; Caryophanales; Staphylococcaceae
Description: partial 16S ribosomal RNA
Rfam family: Bacterial small subunit ribosomal RNA
Source: RNAcentral
UUUAUGGAGAGUUUGAUCCUGGCUCAGGAUGAACGCUGGCGGUGUGCCUAAUACAUGCAAGUCGAGCGAACGGACGAGAAGCUUGCUUCUCUGAUGUUAGCGGCGGACGGGUGAGUAACACGUGGAUAACCUACCUAUAAGACUGGGAUAACUUCGGGAAACCGGAGCUAAUACCGGAUAAUAUUUUGAACCGCAUG